RNAcentral lists this ribosomal RNA (373 nucleotides) under uncultured bacterium. RNAcentral's name for it is "bacterial SSU rRNA". It matches the Rfam family "Bacterial small subunit ribosomal RNA", at positions 28 to 392 of the family's 1533-position model. The record is from RNAcentral.
GACGAACGCUGGCGGCGUGCCUAAUACACGCAAGUCGAGCGAAUUUACGAGAGCUUGCUCUCGUAAAUUAGCGGCGGACGGGUGAGUAACACGUGGGCAACCUGCCUAUAAGACUGGGAUAACUUCGGGAAACCGGAGCUAAUACCGGAUAAUUCACAUCUACUCAUGUAGAUGUGCUGAAAGACGGUUUACGCUGUCACUUAUAGAUGGGCCCGCGGCGCAUAGCUAGUUGGUGAGGUAACGGCUCACCAAGGCCACGAUGCGUAGCCGACCUGAGAGGGUGAUCGGCCACACUGGGACUGAGACACGGCCCAGACUCCUACGGGAGGCAGCAGUAGGGAAUCUUCCGCAAUGGACGAAAGUCUGACGGAGC